RNAcentral lists this small nuclear RNA (193 nucleotides) under Scleropages formosus (Asian bonytongue). RNAcentral's name for it is "U2 spliceosomal RNA (ENSSFOG00015031889.1)". It matches the Rfam family "U2 spliceosomal RNA". From Rfam's summary of the family: U2 is a small nuclear RNA (snRNA) component of the spliceosome (involved in pre-mRNA splicing). Complementary binding between U2 snRNA (in an area lying towards the 5' end but 3' to hairpin I) and the branchpoint sequence (BPS) of the intron results the bulging out of an unpaired adenosine, on the BPS, which initiates a nucleophilic attack at the intronic 5' splice site, thus starting the first of two transesterification reactions that mediate splicing. The record is from RNAcentral. Lineage: Eukaryota; Metazoa; Chordata; Actinopteri; Osteoglossiformes; Osteoglossidae.
GUCGCUUCUCGGUCUUUUGGCUAAUGUCAAGUGUAGUGUCUGUUCUCAUCAGUUUAAUAUCUGAUACAGCUUCUAUUUGUGGGCUAUGUAUUAAAUUGAUUUUUUUGGAACAGGGAGAGGGACUAGGUGUUUGCUCCAUCCACUCCAUGCAUCAACCUGGUAUUGCAGUAUUUCCAGGAUUGGUGCACUUUCA